This 253-nucleotide ribosomal RNA is filed under the name uncultured bacterium. RNAcentral's name for it is "partial 16S ribosomal RNA". It matches the Rfam family "Bacterial small subunit ribosomal RNA", at positions 524 to 776 of the family's 1533-position model. The record is from RNAcentral.
UACGAAGGGGGCGAGCGUUGUUCGGAUUUACUGGGCGUAAAGAGCGCGCAGGCGGUCGAUCAAGUCGGGUGUGAAAGCCCCCGGCUCAACUGGGGAGGGUCAUUCGAUACUGAUCGACUCGAAGGCAGGAGAGGGUAGUGGAAUUCCCGGUGUAGUGGUGAAAUGCGUAGAUAUCGGGAGGAACACCAGUGGCGAAGGCGACUACCUGGCCUGUUCUUGACGCUGAGGCGCGAAAGCUAGGGGAGCAAACGGG